RNAcentral lists this ribosomal RNA (254 nucleotides) under uncultured bacterium. RNAcentral describes it as "partial 16S ribosomal RNA". It matches the Rfam family "Bacterial small subunit ribosomal RNA", at positions 524 to 777 of the family's 1533-position model. The record is from RNAcentral.
UACGUAGGGCGCAAGCGUUGUCCGGAAUUAUUGGGCGUAAAGAGCUCGUAGGCGGCCUGUUGCGUCCGCUGUGAAAUCCCGGGGCUCAACCCCGGGCCUGCAGUGGAUACGGGCUGGCUAGAGGCAGGCAGGGGAGAACGGAAUUCCUGGUGUAGGCGGUGAAAUGCGCAGAUAUCAGGAGGAACACCAUAGCGAAGGCAGCUCGCUGGGACGUUACUGACACUGAGGCGCGAAAGCGUGGGGAGCGAACAGGA